RNAcentral lists this microRNA precursor (49 nucleotides) under Oreochromis niloticus (Nile tilapia). RNAcentral describes it as "microRNA oni-mir-10852 precursor". The record is from miRBase by way of RNAcentral. Lineage: Eukaryota; Metazoa; Chordata; Actinopteri; Cichliformes; Cichlidae.
UUUGUAACAGUCUGAUUAACAUGUUGUUAAUCAGACUGUUACAGAAACC